Molecule: long non-coding RNA, 2446 nt
Organism: Cyprinus carpio carpio
Lineage: Eukaryota; Metazoa; Chordata; Actinopteri; Cypriniformes; Cyprinidae
Source: Ensembl
CACCUUUGUGACUUUCAGACUGUUUAACUGUAAAGGACACCGGAGCACUUAAAGACGUUACACUGGCCUGAAACCAUUGAAUAUCCUACAACAGCUUGAUAAAAACAUAAAAAAUAACAAAGAAAAACCUUCAACUGUUAAAACCUUGUAAUACUGAAAUCAUAAAAAAAAAAAGUCCUGUCCCUGCUGCAGUUUCAAGGGCUCAUUGACAGACAGUGACACGAACAGAGGCCACUCUCGCAAAGGGCUGAGACAGAAAGAAGGAACUUACGUCACGAGCAACACCGUCUGGGAUCGUUCUGUGAGUCGAGCGUUCAUUCACCCUCUGUACUUGACACGGUGGAUGCCUCAAGUUCUGUCCUGCCCUGUGCACAAAGACAAAGUUGUACAUAAAUAACAGUGGGGUCGUUUGCGCAGUUUAGCAGCUUCUGAAAAAUAUACAAGGCAUGUUUGGUGAAGCAGGAGUUGAAAAGAGUUGGGAACAGUAAAAAAGGAUGAAAAACAAAUGAGGGCAUGGCAAAGGCCUUUGCAGCUGCAUCGUGCCAUUCAGUCCACACACAAAAAACACGUUUUGUGCACUAUUUUCAAAAAAGUUUAGAUACGCAGAGCACGAGAAUAUGUUUCACUCAGUUUGGAGUCUAAAGCGACGCACACGGACGUCACGAAACGCUUCAUUACAUGCGUUUAGACAGUACAAAACGUCACAUAGGUCAGUAAAAAAAAUCUAGCCAGUAAACUUUAAAGUUUAACAGUAAUUGCUGGCUAAAUGUAUUAGUUUAGAAAAGUUUCUUGCACUUUUUCGACCACUUGGAAUUCAACCCCUCAUGCAGAAAACUCGGAAAUCUCGUGAAAUCGAGUAGAAAAGAUAGAAACUAUUGGACAGAAAUUAAAAUGCUGUUUUAGCAGACUAAAGAAAACACUUUCAUGAUGGCACGUGCUCGGCGGAGCUUCCUCCUGAUGCUUGUUUAUACAAUAUUAUAGGCUAAUAGUUCUAACCCAAUUUAAUCAUGGAUUCUUGCAGUGAAAUAUAAUAUAAUGAUUUAAAUGUAUUAGGGCACUAAAAUCCGCGUUAAUAUACUUUUCAUCUGAACACCUAUAAAUCAGCCUUCAGGCUCCGCUCGCCUCUUUUGAGUGAGCGUCAAAUGAAUCACUUGAAUUAAAAAAAAAAACGUGUUCAAACUCAAAACGAACACUUGCAUUAUUGCAUUUAACCGUUUAGCUAUCAGCAAAAAAUGAUUUUUAAUUUAAAGAUAUUGUAAAGUUUGACCAUAGCGUCGAACUAAUUUUCUUUAAGUAUGAGCAACUUUUUCAGGCCUUUACGCUUAUCGGGAGGAAAAAAUAGGCUAUGAUAUGCAAAACUCCAUAAAGUUAGUUUUCUUAUAGUUUUUAACCAAUUUCAAGAGGACCUCUUCUCUACGUCAUUUUUAAUUGCUCUAAUUUCAUAACCAUAUAAUCAAAGCAUCUUUGUUAUAAUGCAAUAAUGUGAGGGAACACAUACGGUUGAGACGAAAUUAAUGUUAGUCUGACCUGAAGGAAUUUAGGGUUGUCGUCACUAAGGGACUCUGGAGCCUUUUCCAAAUACUGUAGCCUAUAAUGGGGCAUUUGUGUUUGCUCUUCCGUUCGCAUAUAGGACAGGGGACAGGUGAGUGUCACCGAAAACGGGAAAUGACUUGAUGAGGUACUUGGGGGACCUGACUUCAAAAUUGUGGUGACUUGGAUCACGUCACUUCUCAGUUGCUGAGAAUUUCUCAAUGGAACUGUAUCUGCAUGGCAUAAAAUCUUUAUCACAAUGUGUCUACAUGUUAUAUCCUGGGUGUGCGUAGGUGUGUCAUAUUUCAUCGAGGGUGUGUGUAAAAAGAAGGAAAGAAUAGAAAUAAAAGAAAAUAAACCGAUGAAGUUGGGUGAAACCUUGUUGUCUUUGGGCACAUACGGUGACGUGUUCUCUUACACACACACACACACACACACACACACACACACACACACACUGGCACUCUGUCAAUGGGCUGAUAUUUUAAUUUCAAACCCGUGUAGAACUAUAACUGCGUCCGCCAGGGUUAUACAGCUUAUAUGUUAUUGCGAACAGGGUGGGGUCAUUUCAACAUUGUUUGACUUCUAAGUGAAUGGCACACUAACGAGAUGACCCCCUCUCUCUCUUCCCCGAAUGGACCAGUGUGUUUUCCCACGUGCAAACUGGGACGCUCGUUGGUGGAACUGUGGUUUUGUUUGGGUGACUUCUUGUAAUCGUAUUAACUAUUCUGGCAAUGGAGACGCCAGAUAACUCUCGACAGAGAGGGAUCUUAGACUUUGGGGACGUAAGUGGGAGAGAAGUUCGGCUUUACAUUUGAACCGCAAUACAGUUAUAACAUUUGUAGUAUUUGUAGAAUAUAAAUACAGUAAUAAUAAUAAUAAUAAUAAUAAUAAUAAUAAUAAUAAUAAUAAUAAU